AUUUUACUUUGCACACGUGGCUUCAUAGCUAUCGACGGUAUCAAAAGCCGCAGAAAAUGUCGACAUUUCCUGGAAUGCUGAAAUGCGCCCUAUUUUUAACAGUGACUCUCCUGAUGUCUAUCAAUGUAGCGGAAGCACUUGUGCCGCUUUGGACCCUCCAAGAUGGGAGAGAUUUGAACGACCGUUCCGAUGUUGAAUCGAAGCUCGAGUCUUGAAGACAAAUGUGCUAAUAGAGCUAAAACACACAAACAAUAGGACGACUGUGUUAUUAGCCACAAUAAAUAAAUGGC
This is an RNA transcript of Dermacentor albipictus, 290 nucleotides long. RefSeq lists it as uncharacterized. NCBI's taxonomy places the organism in Eukaryota, Metazoa, Arthropoda, Arachnida, Ixodida, Ixodidae. The record is from RefSeq and is a predicted model, not a curated record.